UGUUGCAGCUGUGUGUGUGUGUGACGCAGUAGUGAGGGGGAGGGACACCAAACCUUCAGUAUAUGGACCACCCUCCACCACCAUGGCCACCCAUCACCCUCUCACCUGCCUGGCCAUGCACCAACCCCUCUACUCCUCCACCACAUGGCCACGUACUGGUCCAUCCCCUCUGCACUCACCACCCAGGCUCUACUGUAUGGCCAAACAUGAGCCCCUCUACUGUUUAACAAAGCAUCAGGCGCUGUACUGUACUGUGUGGCCUCAUGCUAGUCCUUCGUCACCAAGGUAAGACCCCCAAUGUGAUGCUGGCCGGAUGUAGACACCGGCCUGACAGAGGUACGUCAACCAUCUUUCCCCAGCUAGUGUAGUGCUUAUUCACCCUUCAGCUGGCUACCCACGUCAUCAUGCAGGUAGGUGGAAGGAAGGGUGGGUGAUGGUUUACCUGGCCAGAGUUGAUCAUUAUAAAGGUAAAUACUUUGUCAUGGAAGAAGGUGAAGGAGGAGGUCAGCUAAGGACUGUAGUUUUUUAUGUAGUUUUAGGUAAAGUUGUGUAUC
This is a long non-coding RNA of Homarus americanus (American lobster), 554 nucleotides long. RefSeq lists it as uncharacterized. The record is from RefSeq and is a predicted model, not a curated record. NCBI's taxonomy places the organism in Eukaryota, Metazoa, Arthropoda, Malacostraca, Decapoda, Nephropidae. The transcript is spliced from 3 exons.